ACUCCUACGGGAGGCAGCAGUGGGGAAUAUUGGACAAUGGGCGCAAGCCUGAUCCAGCCAUGCCGCGUGAGUGAUGAAGGCCCUAGGGUUGUAAAGCUCUUUCACCGGUGAAGAUAAUGACGGUAACCGGAGAAGAAGCCCCGGCUAACUUCGUGCCAGCAGCCGCGGUAAUACGAAGGGGGCUAGCGUUGUUCGGAUUUACUGGGCGUAAAGCGCACGUAGGCGGACUAUUAAGUCAGGGGUGAAAUCCCGGGGCUCAACCCCGGAACUGCCUUUGAUACUGGUAGUCUUGAGUUCGAGGGAGGUGAGUGGAAUUCCGAGUGUAGAGGUGAAAUUCGUAGAUAUUCGGAGGAACACCAGUGGCGAAGGCGGCUCACUGGCUCGAUACUGACGCUGAGGUGCGAAAGCGUGGGGAGCAAACAGGAUUAGAAACCCCGGUAGUCCCAUGA
Molecule: ribosomal RNA, 449 nt
Filed under: uncultured organism
Description: partial 16S ribosomal RNA
Rfam family: Bacterial small subunit ribosomal RNA
Source: RNAcentral